This 77-nucleotide small nucleolar RNA is filed under the name Drosophila virilis. RNAcentral's name for it is "snoRNA:GJ25378". It matches the Rfam family "Small nucleolar RNA Me28S-Am2634", at positions 5 to 80 of the family's 97-position model. Rfam says of the family: Me28S-Am2634 is a member of the C/D class of snoRNA which contain the C (UGAUGA) and D (CUGA) box motifs. The record is from RNAcentral. Lineage: Eukaryota; Metazoa; Arthropoda; Insecta; Diptera; Drosophilidae.
UUUCUAUAUGAUGAUUUUUUCAAGUAGGAAUCUCAUUGAGCUUCAGUCAUUCGUUGCCAUGAAAUCAACUUCUUUUC